GUCACCGAUCGAUCGACCGAUCGGCCGCUCUGCAGCAGCGAGCGUUGCAUCUCGCAUGCACUUUGCAGAGAGGAAGCUAGAGGUAGACGACGACGCGCGAGGCAUGCAGCGAAGCGAGGAGAGCAAGCGCUGCAAGCGGGCGAGAGCGAGUGAUGGAGACGUGUGAGAGGAGAGAGGCCUCUCCUCUGCUGCAGGUGCACGCAUGCCGUUUGCGUCCAUCCAGUCCACGACAAGGGAAUAUCGUCGUCGAUGCAGCAGCAGCACCAGCCGCCCUUUGUUUAUUUACCACCAUACCUUGCUACACAUCCACUUUACUAGUUUCAUAUACACAUUGUAGAGGGAGAAAGUAAGAGACAGAGAGAAGGUGUUGUAUAUAUACUCCUACCUCACACAUUCUCAUUCUCUCUACAUAGGAGUAUAUAUCUGUCGUCGAUCUUCUAAAACUAGUACGCACAUUCUAUCUGUAUGUCGCUCCGAUGUUCAUCAGAAAGUUGUUAAAAUAAUCAAAGCAUGUUUGUUGC
RNAcentral lists this small RNA (521 nucleotides) under Oryza sativa Japonica Group (Japanese rice). RNAcentral's name for it is "sRNA Os03g0593050". The record is from RNAcentral. Lineage: Eukaryota; Viridiplantae; Streptophyta; Magnoliopsida; Poales; Poaceae.